AUCGCUUCUCGGCCUUUUGGCUAAGAUCAAGUGUAGUAUCUGUUCUUAUCAGUUUAAUAUCUGAUAUGUCUUUUACUCGAAGACAAAUAUUAAGCGAAUUUUUAGAGCUAGGGGGUGGGAUGUGAGCUUGCUCAAUCCACUCCACGCAUCGUCCUGGUAUUGCAGUAUUUCCAGGCACGGUGCACCCCUU
Molecule: small nuclear RNA, 190 nt
Filed under: Propithecus coquereli (Coquerel's sifaka)
Lineage: Eukaryota; Metazoa; Chordata; Mammalia; Primates; Indriidae
Description: U2 spliceosomal RNA (ENSPCOG00000002227.1)
Rfam family: U2 spliceosomal RNA
About the family: U2 is a small nuclear RNA (snRNA) component of the spliceosome (involved in pre-mRNA splicing). Complementary binding between U2 snRNA (in an area lying towards the 5' end but 3' to hairpin I) and the branchpoint sequence (BPS) of the intron results the bulging out of an unpaired adenosine, on the BPS, which initiates a nucleophilic attack at the intronic 5' splice site, thus starting the first of two transesterification reactions that mediate splicing.
Source: Rfam by way of RNAcentral